Anneissia japonica is the source of this 554-nucleotide long non-coding RNA. RefSeq lists it as uncharacterized. NCBI's taxonomy places the organism in Eukaryota, Metazoa, Echinodermata, Crinoidea, Comatulida, Comatulidae. The transcript has 3 exons. The record is from RefSeq and is a predicted model, not a curated record.
CGUAAGCCACGCCAGUCUUACGCCGUGUGUGUGAACAUAGCCUUAUACACCAAGCUUAGGAAGGUCAUUUACCUUAAGGUCAUUUGCCUUAAUUCAAGUGACCACACAUCAUUUGGGAAUGUUGAUGAGUUUCCCAGGUACUAGACAAGGACAGGCAAUUAAUAAUCCUUAUUGGUCAGAUGGUAUGAAAGGUGAUGCUAUAUCACAUACAUUUGUACUUUUACAGACACUCCUCAGUUUGUCCUCCCUGAGUACUCAUUACUUUCGCUUUCUAUCAAUUUGUAUAUAUCAUCAACUUGUUUCUCAAGUAAAUACGCUUUUCACUUGGAAUACCUUGACAUGGCAAUACUCAGCUGAUACAACCACUUGGUAUUGGAUGUAAAAAAUGCUGUCAUUUUCUGCAGUGAUUCAACCAAGGGCUUUGAGAUUAAAAGUGCCUGUAGAUUUCUCUAACAGCAUGUAAAAUCAACAGUCUCCUUCUUCGAAUUUGUUCCAAUAUCUUUCUACGUACUGUUAUAAUGCUAUUGGUGCCGGGGAACGAUUUACUACAAAAA